Molecule: transfer RNA, 72 nt
Filed under: Fukomys damarensis (Damara mole-rat)
Lineage: Eukaryota; Metazoa; Chordata; Mammalia; Rodentia; Bathyergidae
Rfam family: tRNA
About the family: Transfer RNA (tRNA) molecules are approximately 80 nucleotides in length. Their secondary structure includes four short double-helical elements and three loops (D, anti-codon, and T loops). Further hydrogen bonds mediate the characteristic L-shaped molecular structure. tRNAs have two regions of fundamental functional importance: the anti-codon, which is responsible for specific mRNA codon recognition, and the 3' end, to which the tRNAs corresponding amino acid is attached (by aminoacyl-tRNA synthetases). tRNAs cope with the degeneracy of the genetic code in two manners: having more than one tRNA (with a specific anti-codon) for a particular amino acid; and 'wobble' base-pairing, i.e. permitting non-standard base-pairing at the 3rd anti-codon position.
Source: Rfam by way of RNAcentral
GAUUGUGUAGCUCAGUGGCAGAGCAUUUGUCUAGCAUGUGGGAAGCCUUGGGUUCAAUCCCCAAUGCAAUAA